AAAGCUCAAAUUUAAAAUCUGGCAGCCUUUGGUUGUCCGAGUUGUAAAUUAGAGAAGCGCUAUCCGCGUUGGCCUGUGCAAAAGUCUCUUGGAAAAGAGCAUCAUAGAGGGUGACAAUCCCGUCUUUGGCACAGACUACCAGGGCAUUGUGAUACGCUCUCAAU
This 164-nucleotide ribosomal RNA is filed under the name Clavaria sp. RNAcentral describes it as "partial large subunit ribosomal RNA". It matches the Rfam family "Eukaryotic large subunit ribosomal RNA", at positions 104 to 261 of the family's 3401-position model. Lineage: Eukaryota; Fungi; Basidiomycota; Agaricomycetes; Agaricales; Clavariaceae. The record is from RNAcentral.